AACGAACGCUGGCGGCAUGCCUAACACAUGCAAGUCGAACGAGACCUUCGGGUCUAGUGGCGCACGGGUGCGUAACGCGUGGGAACCUGCCCUUAGGUUCGGAAUAACUCCCCGAAAGGGGUGCUAAUACCGGAUAAUGUCUUCGGCCCAAAGAUUUAUCGCCUUUGGAUGGGCCCGCGUUGGAUUAGCUAGUUGGUAGGGUAAAAGCCUACCAAGGCGACGAUCCAUAGCUGGUCUGAGAGGAUGAUCAGCCACACUGGGACUGAGACACGGCCCAGACUCCUACGGGAGGCAGCAGUGGGGAAUAUUGGACAAUGGGCGAAAGCCUGAUUCAGCAAUGCCGCGUGAGUGAUGAAGGCCUUAGGGUUGUAAAGCUCUUUUACCCGGGAUGAUAAUGACAGUACCGGGAGAAUAAGCUCCGGCUAACUCCGUG
RNAcentral lists this ribosomal RNA (433 nucleotides) under uncultured bacterium. RNAcentral's name for it is "partial 16S ribosomal RNA". It matches the Rfam family "Bacterial small subunit ribosomal RNA", at positions 29 to 507 of the family's 1533-position model. The record is from RNAcentral.